GACGAAGGGGGCUAGCGUUGUUCGGAAUUACUGGGCGUAAAGCGCGUGUAGGCGGUUGUCCAAGUUGGAUGUGAAAGCCUUGAGCUCAACUCAAGAAAUGCAUUCAGGACUGGAUGACUAGAGGACCGGAGAGGAUAGUGGAAUUCCCAGUGUAGUGGUGAAAUACGUAGAGAUUGGGAAGAACACCAGUGGCGAAGGCGGCUAUCUGGACGGUUUCUGACGCUAAGACGCGAAAGCGUGGGGAGCGAACAGG
Molecule: ribosomal RNA, 253 nt
Filed under: uncultured bacterium
Lineage: Bacteria
Description: partial 16S ribosomal RNA
Rfam family: Bacterial small subunit ribosomal RNA
Source: RNAcentral